AACUGUCUGCAGCCAGUGACCAGAACUUCCAACAGCAACCCCCUCCCCAUCCCCCCCCUCCACACACACACACACACUUGUGCCAGGGACUGAGCGGUCCUGCCCUAUGAGGUUGGCUUUGAGACUACAUGAGAUUAGAGAGACACAUGGGGAGAAGGGCUGGCUUCAUGACACAAGUCUGGUCAAUGAGACAAAGGGGAUGUCUGCUGAGGAUUCUCAGAAAAGGCCUUGUCCUCUUCUUCUGGUCUUCAACCUAGAUGUGCUGGCUGAAGGUGACACCAAAGACCUGCUCUGCCCCCUCAUGACCUGUGACAUGGCACUACCACGCGUAGAAGGACGUUAACGCACAGAUAUAAUUAACAUGCUCCGUAUUUUCUUAUGUGCUCAACAAUAUUGUAAGAGCUGCCCUAUUUAUUGGGCCCACAUUGUGGGGUUAAUUACCAGUCAAGUCUUCAUGGAAUAAUUAUGGGGACCCAUCACUUAUAUACCUCACCCCAGUAGAGAUUCCAUUCUCCUCCAUUCUGAUAACGUUAGCUCCUGGAACAAGUUAAUGUACCUUGUCGUCAACAUAUGGUUUCUCUGCUCCUUUCCGUUUUGUGUGAAGCUGCAGACCAGAGAUGGGGUCUUCUGGAAGAAACAUCGAAGGACAUAAAGGGAUACAGGGAAUAGACACACGAUUACAGACUUCCGUAGAAUAAGCUGAUGUGACCACAGAGCAGACACCUCACUGCCGGUCAAUCCCUGGAUUCCAUCCUCCAAAAACCUCCUUCUCCCCCAGUGCUGUUCAUCCCAGUCAUCAGGACCAUCAUUCACCCUAUUGUUCAGAUCAAACCCGUGGAGUCGCCUGACUCCUGUCCUUCUCUCAUCCAAUCCACCAGCUCUGCCAUCAAAAUAGAAUCUCUCAAGUCCAAGCCA
Felis catus (domestic cat) is the source of this 915-nucleotide long non-coding RNA. RefSeq lists it as uncharacterized. Lineage: Eukaryota; Metazoa; Chordata; Mammalia; Carnivora; Felidae. The transcript has 4 exons. The record is from RefSeq and is a predicted model, not a curated record.